Nycticebus coucang (slow loris) is the source of this 869-nucleotide long non-coding RNA. RefSeq lists it as uncharacterized. NCBI's taxonomy places the organism in Eukaryota, Metazoa, Chordata, Mammalia, Primates, Lorisidae. The record is from RefSeq and is a predicted model, not a curated record. The transcript is spliced from 2 exons.
AACGUCCAGAAAGCGUAAAGAAGACAGGAGCCAGAAAUCUUACCAUCCAGCUGGAGACUUCACUAUCCCUGGGUAGCUGCUGUCUUGUUCAACAGGGUGGAGACAAAAGAGAAGAGGCUAAAACCCUCCUGGAGGGACGCCUCUCCGAGUCUCACCGGCUGAGAAGGGGGCCCCCGGGCUGCGGGCACUGGGAACUGCAGCGAGGACGGCGCCUUCCCUCGUUUUCCUCCUGACCUCCACUCAAGUAUCCGGCCUGGUAGGGUUGUUGGUACCGAGUGCAGCAGGGGCGGGGUAGGUAGAGGAAGUGGAUGGUUCCCGGAGUGUGGUCUUAACAACCUGUGGAUCUCGGUGCUUGUUCGGUUGCCAUCCACAGCCUACCAAAGAAGCCCUUUAGUUCCUAAUCUGUACAGCAUUAGGAAAUGCUCGCCUGAUUCCCAGAUACUAGCAGUUCAAAGUAUAUACCCUAAACAGGACAGCCUGACGCCUGUAGGGACUGAGGGAGUCACCUGCUGGGGUUUGUAUCCUCCAGCCUUCACCUUCUACAGCCAUGCCACUAAUAAUUUCCCAUCCUGGGCACUUUAUAGUUUAGUAUGAGCCCUCCUGGACUUAAUUUUAUUCUUGUCUUGUUAGUCUAAUGCAAAAAGCUGGGAGCAGAAUCGCUAAGAACUGAAGACACUUGUUGAAGGCUCUCUAGUUUGAUGCUAUCCAAAGAGUGGUCUGUAGUGACCCUGCAGUGGCAGUCUGCACACCAUGACUUAUCUGCAAUGGAAUGGACACAGAAAUUGAACACGUAGAAACUUUUAUAGUAGUUUGACAGUAAUUUUAUGCUUGUUAAAUUUAAAUCAUUAAAAAAGUAGCGUUGGAUUCUA